This 541-nucleotide ribosomal RNA is filed under the name Bifidobacterium breve. RNAcentral describes it as "bacterial SSU rRNA". It matches the Rfam family "Bacterial small subunit ribosomal RNA", at positions 161 to 710 of the family's 1533-position model. The record is from RNAcentral. Lineage: Bacteria; Bacillati; Actinomycetota; Actinomycetes; Bifidobacteriales; Bifidobacteriaceae.
UGGUAAUGCCGGAUGCUCCAUCUCAUCGCAUGGUGUUUUGGGAAAGCCUUUGCGGCAUGGGAUGGGGUCGCGUCCUAUCAGCUUGAUGGCGGGGUAACGGCCCACCAUGGCUUCGACGGGUAGCCGGCCUGAGAGGGCGACCGGCCACAUUGGGACUGAGAUACGGCCCAGACUCCUACGGGAGGCAGCAGUGGGGAAUAUUGCACAAUGGGCGCAAGCCUGAUGCAGCGACGCCGCGUGAGGGAUGGAGGCCUUCGGGUUGUAAACCUCUUUUGUUAGGGAGCAAGGCAUUUUGUGUUGAGUGUACCUUUCGAAUAAGCACCGGCUAACUACGUGCCAGCAGCCGCGGUAAUACGUAGGGUGCAAGCGUUAUCCGGAAUUAUUGGGCGUAAAGGGCUCGUAGGCGGUUCGUCGCGUCCGGUGUGAAAGUCCAUCGCUUAACGGUGGAUCCGCGCCGGGUACGGGCGGGCUUGAGUGCGGUAGGGGAGACUGGAAUUCCCGGUGUAACGGUGGAAUGUGUAGAUAUCGGAAAAAAAACACC